This 7623-nucleotide long non-coding RNA is filed under the name Homo sapiens (human). RNAcentral's name for it is "non-protein coding LINC00847:22". Lineage: Eukaryota; Metazoa; Chordata; Mammalia; Primates; Hominidae. The record is from RNAcentral.
CUUUUGACAGCCGUGAGCUUCCCCGCCAGGAACUUACUGGGGCUGCAUCACCCUAGAAACGUGGCUUUGGGCUGUGGAAACGCUGCCUCUGUGGAAGUCUCUCCUCGCGGGGGUGGACGGGUCGCUGCGCGCCCAGCGUUCUUCUGCGGUUCUCACAGCCCGCCGCCGCCGCCGCCUCGGGGACCUUUGCGGGGAGGCCUCAGGUCAGCGCCGCCCUUGCGAUGGCGGGAGAGCAGAGCGGCCCCAGGGCCUCUGAGCUCCGGCCCCGGCACGUCCCGCCCUCUCCUCCGCUUGCGGGAGCCGGGGCGCCUCGGAGGGAAACCUUCCGGACACAGGCCGGGAGAAGAGGGGCCGUGGCGCCAUCGCGCAGCUUCCUGGUUUCGGCCAUGUUUUUUUUUUUUUGAGACGGAGUUUCGCUCUUUUUGCCCAGGCUGGAGGGCAAUGGCGCCGUCUCGGCUCCCUGCAGCCGCCGCCUCCCGGGUUGAAGGGACUCUCCGGCCUCAGGCCGCGGUGUUCUUGUAAAUUAGAACCGGCCUAUGCGCCAAGCGCGGGUCUCGCGGCUGCGGAGAGAGGCCCAGCAGGGGGCGGGGACGCCGGGAGGCGGGGCCUGGCCGAGCUGCGCACACCCGGGUGGUUCUGGCUACGGGUACCCGGACCUGCCCAACGACCGUUCUCCAUUCCCGACCUCCGCACCCUACCCGGUCCGCAGGGCACCUUCCUCCUCUCUCUCAGGCACGUCCUCGACCUCAGUUGCCACGUGCACAUGCUGGUGCCUUCCAGGUCGGUCUUUCUCCACCAGACUCCACCUGGAACUUUCUUCCUUUUCGUCCUGUGCUGGCCUAACCCCUGCUCGGCCUCGGCCCUCAGCUGCCGGCUCUAACAAAGCCUCUGUCUUUCCCAGACCCCUGUGACCAGGUCAGGCUCUGCUCCCUGCGUUCCUCUCUCCUUGCUUCCCUCCUCCUCCCCUCCCCAGAAUCGCUUGAACCUGGGAGGCAGACGUUGCAGUGAGCUGAGAUCGCACCAUUGCACUCCAGCCUGGGUGACAAGAGCGAGACUCCAUCUCAAAACAAAAAACAAAAAACACAACUCUUGCUGGCUCCUUGAUUUUAGCCCAGUGAGAUUCACUUCUAAUUUCUUUUUUUCUUUGAGACAGUCUGUUCUGUCACCCAGGCUGGAGUGCAGUGGCGUAAUCAUGGCUCACUGCAGCCUCAACCUUCCUGGACUCAAGUGAACCUUCCACCUCAGCCUCCCAGGUAGCCGGGACUACAGGGGUGCACCAGCAUGCCUGGCUAAUUUUUGCAUUUUUUGUAGAGAUGGGGUUUCACUAUGUUGCCCAGGCUGGUCUGAAACUCCUGUGCCCCAGCAGUCCUCCUGCCUUGGUCUCCCAAAGUUCUGAGAUUACAGGCAUGAGCCACUGCGCCUGGGCUUCCAUUUCUGAUUUCCAAAACUCUAGGAUAAUAAAUUUACAUUGUUUUAAGCCACCAAAUUGUAGUAAUCUGUUACAGCAGCAAUAAGAAAUGAAUACAGCCAUGCUUGAUAAUUCCUUUAUCAAAAGCUACCUAUUGGUGUUAGGAAGUAUUGUUUUAAAUUCUAAGACAGUGUUUUCACUUUCUAUCUUGUGCACUGACUACCUCAUGACCCCUUAGGUACCAGUCAGGACUGGUAGACUUUAAUGUGGAGAACUUCUGAAACAGCAGUUCUCAAAAUGUUACCUCCAGACACACAGAAUCUGCAUCACCCAGGAACUUGUAACCAUGCAAAUUCUCAGCCACCCAGACUUCCUGCAUCAGAAACUCUGGGGCCCAGCAGCCUGUGUUUUAACAAAGCCCUUCAGGUGAUUCUGACACUUGCUCAAGUUUGAGAACCGCUGUUCUAGGAGCUGGUCCUGCAGGGAAAGGGUGGCCUCUCAGUUCAGGUUCCAGUGUGGCUGGGGGUGGGGGUCAAGGUGAGGGUUUGGUUGUUGUGUCUGACAGUCAGCCAGGCUUGAGCACACGGACUGUUUACAAGGCUGCACUUUCCAUGUUCUGGUCAGCAGUCUCCUGGUUCAUUCCGUUACGAAUGGACUGUCACCCCAAAAUUAAUGUUGAAAUCUAUUUCUCUAUUUGGAGGUGGGGCCUUUGGGAGGUAAUUAGGUCAUGAGAGUGGAGCCCUCAUGAAUGGAAUGACUGCCUAAGAGAACAGAGAUGGCUCACACCUGUAAUCCCAGCACUUUGGGAGGCUGAGGUGGGCGGAUCACGAGGUCAAGAGAUCGAGACCAUCCUGGCUAACACGGUGAAACCCCAUCUCCACUAAAAUACAAAAAAUUAACCAGGUGUGGCAGCGGGUGCCUGUAGUCCCAGCUACUCAGGAGGCUGAGGCAGGAGAAUGGUGUAAACCUGGGAGGCAGAGCUUUCAGUGAGCUGAGACUGCGCCACUGCACUCCAGCCUGGGCGAUACGGUGAAACUCUGUCUCAAAAAAAAAAAAAAAAAAAGAGAACAGAGAGCUAGCUUGCUGAUUUUCUGCCAUAUGAGGAUACAGUAAGAGGGCAGCCAUCUGCAACUUGUAAGAUGACCCUCACCAUAACGUGACCAUGCUGGCACCACGAUCUCAGACUUCUAACCCCCAGAACUGAGAAAUAAAUUUCUCCACCACUCUAUGACACGGUAUUUUUUUUUUUUUUUUGAGAUGGAGUCUCGCUCUAUUGCCCAGGCUGGAGCGCAGUGGCACGAUCUCGGCUCACUGCAACCUCUGCCUCCCGGGUUCAAGCGAUUCUCCUGCCUCAGCCUCCUGAGUAGCUGGGAUUACAGGUAUGCGCCACCACACCUGGCUAAGUUUUGUAUUUUUAAUAGAGAUGGGGUUUCACCGUGUUAGCCAGGAUGGUCUCGAUCUCCUGACCUCAUGAUCCGCCCGCCUCGGCCUCCCAAAGUGCUGGGAUUACAGGCGUGAGCCACUGCGCCCAGCUGGCAUGGUAUUUGUUAUAGCAACCCAAGCUAAGACACUCCAUGUUAUGGACUGAAUGCUCGUCUGCCCCCAAAGUUUCUAUGCUGAGAUCCUAACCCCUUUGUGAUGGUAACAGGAAGUGGGAACUUUGGGAAGUAACUAAUUAGGCCAUGAUGGUAGGGCCCUCAUGAGUGGGAUUAGUGGCUGUCUUAGUCCAUUUUGUGCUGCUAUAAUAGAAUACCCGAGACUGGGUAAUUUAUAUAGAACAGAUGUUUGUUCUCUCACAGCUGUUGCAUUAGGGAUAGAUGGAAAGACUUAUUUAUGUAUUGACUGACUGAUUGAUGGGGCCUUGUUCUGUUGCCUAGGCUGGAGUAUAGUGGCAUGAUCAUAGAUCACUGCAGCCUCAAACUCCUGGGCUCAAGCGAUCCUCCCACCUCAGCCUCCAUAUAGCUGGUGGGGACCAAGUUUCUAACACAUGAAUGUUGGGAGACACAUUCAGACCAUCGCAGUGGCCUUAUAAAAAGAGACACAAGAGCUUGCUCUCUGCCAUGUGAGAAUACCACAAGAAGACUGUCCUCAGCAAAUCAGAAAGCGGGUGGACCCUCAUCAGACACCAGAUGUGCCUGCACCUUGAUCUUGGACUUGCCAGCCUUCAGAACAGUAAGAAAGAAAUGUGUGUUGUUUAAGCCACCCAGUCUAUGGUAACUUGCUAUAGCAGCCCACUAGGAGACCCCAAGAUAUUUAAAAACUCAUCAGCACCUGCUUUCUGCAUCUGGACCCUGAUCUUCUGGUGGGUUUACCAGUUACUUGUAGAGUGUCCCUGUGAUAGUUUUAGGUGUCAACUUGACAGGAUUGAGGGAUGCCUAGAUGGCUGGGGAAGCACUGUUUCUGAGAAGGACCAUGUUUUUGGAGGAGACUGUUUUAUGAGUGAAUUUCAGGGGACACAUUCAGAUCAUGGCAGUGGCAUUAUAAAGAGAGACACAAAAGCUUGCUCUCUCUCUCUGCCAUGUAAGACUACCACACAAAGACUGCCAUCUGCAAACCAGAAGCAGGUGGGCUUUCCUCAGACACCAGAUCUGCCUGCACCUUGAUCUUGGACUUGCCAGCCUUCAGAACUCUAAGAAAGAAAUGGUAGCAUGGCUUGGUCUAAGUUGGAAGGCCUGAGAAACAAGCACAUGGUGGAACUGAGUUCAAGGAUAAAGACUUGAGAAUACCUGCUCAGUGGACUGAGUAGGGAAGAUCAACCCUCAAUGUAGGCAGGCACUAUCCAAUCACCUGAGGGCCCAGAUGGAACAAAAAGGUGGAAGAAGGGUGAAUUCUCUCUUCCAGAGCUGUGACACCCUUCUCAUGCCCUUGUACCACACAACUCUAGGUCCUUUGGCCUUUGGACUCUGACACUUGCACCAGUGGCCCUCUGGGGCUCUCAAGCCUUUAGCCUUGAACUUAGUUACACCAUGUGCCUCCUUGUUUCUCAGGCCUUCCAACUUGGAUCAGGCCAUGCCACCGGCUUCUCUGAUUCUCCAGCUUGCAGAUGGUAUAUUGUGACCCUGGCAUUUAAUAACUAUGACUUUGGUCUUAAGCAAUUUUCUUCCUCUGUGGAUUGAUAUUUACAUAUCAAUGUGGAUAAUAAUUUCUUACCACGGUAACUGUUGUGAGGUAAAAAUGAGUUAACAUAAGUAAAACCGAGCACAUGCAAACCAUCCGAAAUGGUUAAUACUUACUAUUUGUACUUGAAGAAAUAAAUGUUUUUGACAAUAAACUUCUUGUGCAGUUUUCCUCAGCCAGUGUCAACUGAGCCGAUCAUUUAUGUGACAGUUUCAUUACCAAAUGGAUGUUCUCACCACUAUUUCAAGUGCAGUAUGAAACUUUAUUUGAAAUUCUAAAAAACUAAUUAAUUAAUUAAGGUUGUUUGGCUCUUGCAGCCUGUAUUAAUUUCCUAGGGCAGCCGUAACAAAGGAGUCACAUACCACAUGACAUUUUGGUCAGCAGCAGGCUGCGUUUCUGACAGUACUCCAUACAAUUAUAACACCAUUAUUUUUACGGUACCUUUUCUAUGGUUAGAUACACAAAUACUUACCGUGUUACAGUUGCCUACAGUAUUCAGAGUACAGUCACAUGCUGUACUGGUUUGCAGCCCCGGCGCAUUAGGCCAUGCCGUGCAGCCUAGCUGUGUAGUAGGCUCUCCUGGCUAGGUUUGUGAGUGUGCCCUCUAUGAUGUUCACACAACGGCCUAACGAUGCAUUUCUCACAACGUAUCCACGUUAAGUGACCCAUGACUAUUCAUUCUACAAACUGAGAAGCUUAAGUAACAGAAAUUUAUUUUCUCACAGACUUGGAAGACAGAAGCCUGAAAUCAAGUUGUUAGUAGGGCCAUUGCCCUCUGAAGGCUCUAGAGGCAAAUCUUUUCUUGCCUCUUUCAGCUUCCGGUGGCUCCCAGCAAUCCCUGACAUUCUUUUCCUUGUAGUAACACAACUCUAAUCCCUACCUCAGUCUUCACACAGUGUUCUCCCCUGUGGGUCUCUCAAUCUCUCACUCCUCAUAAGGACAAGUCUUUGCAUUCAGGGCCCCUCAAAUCCAGUGUGACCUCAUCUUAAUUUGAUUACCUUUGUAAAGAUGCAAUUUCCAAAUAAGGUCACAUUUGUAUGUACUGCGGGUUAGGACUUGAACAUAUAUUUUUAGGGGGCACAAGUGAACCCACAUCAGAGGUCAAGCCACAAAGCAGCCUACAUGGCGAAACCAGUCUUGUCGUGAAAAUGUAAACUGAGGUAAGGGCCAUGCUGCCUUGGAAAGCGUUCUGUGUUGUCAUUCCAGAGCCACGGGGGCUGGAUAGUGACAACAGAGGUGGGUUGCAGAUCUAUGGGCUACUCUUUGCAGAGGCAGUAAGUAGGGACUGCCACAGCAUUCAAUUAAUUUCCUGUAAGAAUACAUUUUAUUCAAGUUGAUAAAAAAGCUAUACUUAUUAAUAUUGCAUAACAUUCCUGUGCUAUCAAAUGAGAAUCUCCAGAAAUGAAUUUGAAUAGCUAUAAAACCCACAUUUUUCUGCAGAUACAUGUGUAGCCACCUGAGAGCCAGGUCCCUCAGUGUCCACAGACAUAGCCCUGCCACCUACCGCCUGCUUCCCAGAGCAAUGAAGCUUCUGCUAACUCAGGCUUAUCCCAGUCUCUAUUUCAGGCCAUCAGCUGGAUGAAGAAUUAAUUUAGUAAGCAUGAAACAGCUUGCAAAGCAUUGGUGAGUGGCUGAGGGCCAUGAAACGAGACCACCGUGUGGCCCAUCUCUGAAGAUGAAUCCAACAGCAGUGACUCUACCUGCGUCCUCCCCAUCUUUUCUGCUUUUUCAUACAAUGGCUUAUUCACUGCGUGUGACAUCAUCACUAGCACUGUGUUUAUCUAUCACAUUUCUUCUGUUUUGUGGGUUUGUUUUGCAUUAAAGGUCUACUUCUCUGAGCUUUGAGCUGUAAGGCUUGACUGUGAGCAGCAACUGAAGAGUGUGGCACCUCACACUCGGUAGGAAGAAGCUGAAUGACAGAUGUCGGCAGUGAGGGUGGGGAAAGCAGCCAGGUACCAAGCAGCUGUUUUUUAGGCUAACCAUUGAAGGGAAGCUCCUAAUCCCUGAGUUAACUUUUAGCAGAGAUUAACUCAGUCUAUCUAUUGGGAUGUAAAGGAUUUGGGCAUAAAGGUAUGUUAAUUCGGAGGCUCUGGAAUGUAUAACAAUUUCUCCCAUUGAAAUUUAUGAUAAUUAAGUGUUCAACUUACUGGAAUUUUCCCCACAAGACUCUUCUGGGAUGAAUUUGCCUUGGGGAGAAGACUACGUAACUGAAAACCAGCAUCCAGGCCCUCAAGAAGAAAUAUAAUCUCCAACAGUCUCCUUUUCAAUUUCUGUCAAAUGUCUGGCUUCUCUUGAAGGGAUGUUCACGAGAAGGGACAGCCGCCCUCCUCCGAGCCUCCUGUUUCAGCUGAUGCACCUUCAAGUACAAGGUCCUGUUCUUGGGCUCUGUUAAAGUUUCCCUCAAGAAAAAAACCUUACAUUUGCCAAUGCACUUGAUGUAAAGUUGUUGAGGAUGUUGACUCUCCUUUAAACAUUUAUUGAAGCUAGGAAUAAACUUAACUGGACCUGUGUAUAGGAAAUCUUAAAUUUCUACUAAGAGAUGAAAAAAAGAAUUCCCUUCCCUUCCUUAACAAUUCAGCUCCCGUUACACAAAACCAAACAAGAUGGGAUUCUGUUGUGGGGGGACAGAACUUCAUUGUCCUGAAGCUAGGUGUUGGAGCCCAAGCAGGGUGAGGAGGGAGUCAAGGAGGCCCAUGUGGUGGUGGAGCAUGGCCUGGCAUGGGUCUCAGUGCCCAAGCAAGGUGAAGAGGGGACCAUGCAGGGAGUGAGGGUGUCACUGCCCAAGUGAGGUGAGUAGGGCAAUUUUGAAAAGUCAUGAAAGUUGAGGAAGGGCUGAGGCACCAUUCUAGAUUGAAGGAGACUAAAAAGAUGCAACACUCACAAUGCACAAUUCUAAACUGAAAUCUUUGCUCUAAAGGACAUUAGGACAAUGAAAGAAACUUGCACGGGGUCUGAGCAUUAGGUAGUAGUAAUGAAUUGAUGUUGAGUCCCUAAUUUUCAUGGUUGUAUGCUGAUGAUGUAGGAGGUUCUUGUAGGAAAUACACACUCAAAAGUAUUCUGAGGUGAUGGGGCAUCAUAUCAGAAGCUUAUUCUCAAAU